This 484-nucleotide ribosomal RNA is filed under the name uncultured bacterium. RNAcentral describes it as "partial 16S ribosomal RNA". It matches the Rfam family "Bacterial small subunit ribosomal RNA", at positions 28 to 523 of the family's 1533-position model. The record is from RNAcentral.
GGUGAACGCUGGCGGCGUGCUUAACACAUGCAAGUCGAACGAGAACGGGUUAUAGCUUGCUAUAAUUGUCAGCUAAGUGGCGCACGGGUGAGUAAUGUAUAGGUAAUAUGCCUCUUACUAAGGGAUAACAAUUGGAAACGAUUGCUAAUACCUUAUACUCCUUAUUAACUAAAGUUAGUAAGGGAAAGAUUUAUUGGUAAGAGAUUAGCCUGUAUUGUAUCAGUUAGUUGGUGGGGUAAUGGCCUACCAAGACUAUGACGCAUAACUGGUUUGAGAGGAUGAUCAGUCACACUGGAACUGAGACACGGUCCAGACUCCUACGGGAGGCAGCAGUGGGGAAUAUUGCACAAUGGACGAAAGUCUGAUGCAGCAACGCCGCGUGGAGGAUGACACAUUUCGGUGCGUAAACUCCUUUUAUAUAAGAAGAUAAUGACGGUAUUAUAUGAAUAAGCACCGGCUAACUCCGUGCCAGCAGCCGCAGUAA